CUACUUACCUGGCAGGGAAGUUACCAUGAUCACGAAGGUGGUUUUCCCAGGGUGUGGCUUCUCCAUUGCACUCUGGAUGCGCUGAGCCUUGCAGUUUCCCCAAAUGCGAAAAACUAACUGCAUAAUUUGUGGUAGCUGGGAAUUGUGUGCAUGCUCUCCCUU
Small nuclear RNA from Arvicola amphibius (Eurasian water vole), 162 nucleotides. RefSeq annotates it as U1 spliceosomal RNA. NCBI's taxonomy places the organism in Eukaryota, Metazoa, Chordata, Mammalia, Rodentia, Cricetidae. The record is from RefSeq and is a predicted model, not a curated record. The transcript has a single exon.